This 71-nucleotide transfer RNA is filed under the name Camelus bactrianus (Bactrian camel). It matches the Rfam family "tRNA". From Rfam's summary of the family: Transfer RNA (tRNA) molecules are approximately 80 nucleotides in length. Their secondary structure includes four short double-helical elements and three loops (D, anti-codon, and T loops). Lineage: Eukaryota; Metazoa; Chordata; Mammalia; Artiodactyla; Camelidae. The record is from Rfam by way of RNAcentral. RNAcentral also lists the same sequence under 2 other names.
AGGGAAAUAGCUCAGUGUUAGAGUGCAUCUUGGCAUGCAUGAGGUCCUGGGUUCAAUUCCCAGUACCUCCC